GAUGAACGCUGGCGGCGUGCCUAAUACAUGCAAGUCGAGCGAACAGACGAGGAGCUUGCUCCUCUGACGUUAGCGGCGGACGGGUGAGUAACACGUGGAUAACCUACCUAUAAGACUGGGAUAACUUCGGGAAACCGGAGCUAAUACCGGAUAAUAUAUUGAACCGCAUGGUUCAAUAGUGAAAGACGGUUUUGCUGUCACUUAUAGAUGGAUCCGCGCCGCAUUAGCUAGUUGGUAAGCUAACGGCUUACCAAGGCGACGAUGCGUAGCCGACCUGAGAGGGUGAUCGGCCACACUGGAACUGAGACACGGUCCAGACUCCUACGGGAGGCAGCAGUAGGGAAUCUUCCGCAAUGGGCGAAAGCCUGACGGAGCAGCGCCGCGUGAGUGAUGAAGGUCUUCGGAUCGUAAAACUCUGUUAUUAGGGAAGAACAAAUGUGUAAGUAACUAUGCACGUCUUGACGGUACCUAAUCAGAAAGCCACGGCUAACUACGUG
RNAcentral lists this ribosomal RNA (497 nucleotides) under uncultured bacterium. RNAcentral's name for it is "partial 16S ribosomal RNA". It matches the Rfam family "Bacterial small subunit ribosomal RNA", at positions 28 to 507 of the family's 1533-position model. The record is from RNAcentral.